Molecule: ribosomal RNA, 360 nt
Filed under: uncultured organism
Description: bacterial SSU rRNA
Rfam family: Bacterial small subunit ribosomal RNA
Source: RNAcentral
GUAGGGUGCGAGCGUUAAUCGGAAUUACUGGGCGUAAAGCGUGCGCAGGCGGUUAUAUAAGACAGAUGUGAAAUCCCCGGGCUCAACCUGGGACCUGCAUUUGUGACUGUAUAGCUAGAGUACGGUAGAGGGGGAUGGAAUUCCGCGUGUAGCAGUGAAAUGCGUAGAUAUGCGGAGGAACACCGAUGGCGAAGGCAAUCCCCUGGACCUGUACUGACGCUCAUGCACGAAAGCGUGGGGAGCAAACAGGAUUAGAUACCCUGGUAGUCCACGCCCUAAACGAUGUCAACUGGUUGUUGGGUCUUCACUGACUCAGUAACGAAGCUAACGCGUGAAGUUGACCGCCUGGGGAGUACGGCC